UCCAGCUCCAAUAGCGUAUAUUAAAGUUGUUGCGGUAAAAAAGCUCGUAGUUGGAUUUCUGUUGAAGACGUCCGGUCCAUACCACGUAUGCGCAUCUGGCUCGGCUUCGGCAUCCUCUCGAAAGACGUUUCUGCGCUUGAUUGCGUGGAGCGGAUCUCGGGACUUUUACUUUGAGGAAAUUAGAGUGUUCACGGCAGGCUAUCGCCAGAAUACAUUAGCAUGGAAUAAUACUAUAGGAUCUCGGUUCUAUUUUGUUGGUUUCUAGAAUUGAGAUAAUGAUUAAUAGGGACAAUUGGGGGCAUUCGUAUCAACACGUUAGAGGUGAAAUUCUUGGAUCGUGUUGCGACGAACUACUGCGAAAGCAUUUGCCAAGGAUGUUUUCAUUGAUCAAGAACGAAAGUAAGGGGAUCGAAGACGAUUAGAUACCGUCGUAGUCUUUACCAUAAACUAUGCCAACUAGAGAUGGGACAUCGUUCACUUAAGACUUGUUCCGCACCUUAUGAGAUAUCAAAGUCUUUGGGUUCCGGGGGGAGUAUGGUCGCAAGUCUGAAACUUAAAGGAAUUGACGGAAGGGCACCACCAGGAGUGGAGCCUGCGGCUUAAUUUGACUCAACACGGGGAAACUCACCAGGUCCAGACAUAAUAAGGAUUGACAGAUUGAUAGCUCUUUCUUGAUUUUAUGGGUGGUGGUGCAUGGCCGUUCUUAGUUCGUGGAGUGAUUUGUCUGCUUAAUUGCGUUAACGAACGAGACCUUAACCUGCUAAAUAGGAGCGCCUAUCUCCGGAUAAGCGCCUUUCUUCUUAGAGGGACUUUAUGCGUUUCAGCAUGAGGAAGUUUGAGGCUAAAAC
Molecule: ribosomal RNA, 848 nt
Filed under: uncultured eukaryote
Lineage: Eukaryota
Description: SSU rRNA
Rfam family: Eukaryotic small subunit ribosomal RNA
Source: RNAcentral